Molecule: long non-coding RNA, 1200 nt
Organism: Capsella rubella
Lineage: Eukaryota; Viridiplantae; Streptophyta; Magnoliopsida; Brassicales; Brassicaceae
Exons: 4
Source: RefSeq, a predicted model, not a curated record
CUCGGUGUUGAUUGGAAUCGAGUCUAACCCAUGAAGCUUGGCGACGAGGGAGAUUAUGUUUCAGUCUAACCCAUGAAGCUUGUCUCAGCUUCGAAGAGAUCAAAGGCAGACACUUAUGUAAUAGUGUUCUGUCAGAUUCUAUUUUGGGGACAUUGUCCCAAGGGAAAUGGUGAACUGUGGGCUUGGUAGUGCAUGCAUGUUGCGAGUUGGAAAAGAGGGCUAUUUGUUGGGAAGAGAUUAAGACAUAAGACAAUAAAGAACCAAAAGACAUGAAAGAACAAAAGUCAUGGAAGUUAUGGGCUUGGUAGUGCAUGCAUGUUGCGAGUUGGAAAGAGGUUUGAUUUGUUGGAAAGAGAUUAAGACAUAAGACAAUAAAGAACCAAAAGACAUGAAAGAACAAAAGUCAUGGAAGUUAUGGGCUUGGUAGUGCAUGCAUGUUGCGAGUUGGAAAAGAGGUUUCGAUUUGUUGGAAAGAGAUUAAGACAUAAGACAAUAGAGAACCAAAAGACAUGAAAGAACCAAAGAGUUCUCAAGUUUGGUACCCUCGGCUUUGGAAUUCAAAGACAAAAGAAUGGGAAUGAGAGGUUGAAGACAUAAGACAUGAAAGAACCAAUAGACAUGAAAGAACAUAAGGCAUGGAAGUUAUGGGCUUGGUAGUGCAUGCAUGUUGCGAGUUGGAAAAGAGGUUUCGAUUUGUUGGAAAGAGAUUAAGACAUAAGACAAUAAAGAACCAAAAGACAUGAAAGAACAUAAGGCAUGCAAGUUAUGGGCUUGGUAGUGCAUGCAUGUUGCGAGUUGGAAAAGAGGUUUUGAUUUGUUGGAAAGAGAUUAAGACAUAAGACAAUAAAGAACCAAAAGACAUGAAAGAACAUAAGGCAUAAAAGUUAUGGGCUUGGUAGUGCAUGCAUGUUGCGAGUUGGAAAAGAGGUUUCGAUUUGUUGGAAAGAGAUUAAGACAUAAGACAUUAAAAAGCCAAAAGACAUGAAAGAACCAAAGAGUUCUCAAGUUUGGUACCCUCGGCUUUGGAAUCCAAAACACAAAAGAAUGGGAAUGAGAGGUUUAAGACAUAAGACAUGAAAGCACCAAUAGACAUGAAAGAAAAGGCAUGGAAGUUAUGGGCUUGGUAGUGCAUGCAUGUUGCGAGUUGGAAAAGAGGUUUCGAUUUGUUGGAAAGAGAUUAAGACAUAAGACAUGAAAGAA